Molecule: non-coding RNA, 108 nt
Organism: Echria macrotheca
Lineage: Eukaryota; Fungi; Ascomycota; Sordariomycetes; Sordariales; Schizotheciaceae
Source: the annotation of a GenBank genome assembly
GGCUCUGUGGUCUAGUGGUAUGAUUCGCGCUUCGGGUUAUCAUUUAAUCCAAUACUUGAUCAACAAGUAUCUUGUGCGAGGUCUCGGGUUCGAUCCCCGACAGAGCCC